GCCCAGAAUACCUUUCAGGGUGGAAUCUGGGACUGACUGAUCCUGCAUUAAAAUCCAGGAUUGUUUUUAUACCCUGAGAUCUAAAAAAAGUCUCCAAGAAAAUUUCCCUCAUGCUGUCUUGUCUUGGAAUUUGAGUGUAGGAAGCCGAGGAGCCUACAGACAACUAAGCAAUGCUGAUAUAGAAAUGAAUACUGGACACUCACACAAAACUCUCAGCUAUCCUGUUAUUCCAAAUCACAGAAACAAAGGCUCUUUUCAUGUAUCAUUGCAACCCAAUUAUCUACAAGGAAAAAUCAGCCAUUUUUAUCUAAGGGAGUAGAAGAAAUCUACCACGUAUUUCAGUGAGAGUGAGAUGGAGGAAUCCAUAAAAUGUGACUAAACCAUAGCACAGACGAACAGCAGUGGAUGAAGUCUACCAGUAUGCUCUGCUCAAAAGUUUAUUCAAAGCAGUUUUGGGCUGCCACACAGGAACAUUCAUGAGCUGUAGUGGGGAUUCAAAACCUGCAAGAUGAGAUUUGUGAUGCCACGCCUGCCAGCUUGUGGAUUUUAAUUCUCCCAGGGACAUCCCUGCUGCCACAUCACAGAUGCCUGAAAAUCAUGGUGUUUUCCAGAGGGCAUCUCACCAGAUGUUGAUGGAAUGGA
Non-coding RNA from Python bivittatus (Burmese python), 642 nucleotides. Lineage: Eukaryota; Metazoa; Chordata; Lepidosauria; Squamata; Pythonidae. The record is from RefSeq and is a predicted model, not a curated record.